Long non-coding RNA from Megalobrama amblycephala (Wuchang bream), 3485 nucleotides. RefSeq lists it as uncharacterized. The transcript is spliced from 2 exons. The record is from RefSeq and is a predicted model, not a curated record. NCBI's taxonomy places the organism in Eukaryota, Metazoa, Chordata, Actinopteri, Cypriniformes, Xenocyprididae.
AUUAAAAAUCGUACCGUUCCCAAACUUUUGAACGGUAGUGUAUAUAUGUAUAAUGCUACACAUAAGGCCAAAAUAUAUAUUCAGUGUUUGCAAUCAACAAAAAUAAACAAAUACUAAAUGAGGAAAAAGGGACAGAGAGGAAAAUAAAAAAACACUGAUCUAGCAUAUAAGUAGUGCAAAAUAAUAAGAAGUCAAAGUUAUUGUAUCACCUGGGUAGACAGCGUCACAUAGGACCAAAAAUCUUCCCAGACAGGGAUACACACUGGGACACAUGCUCUGUUCUUAUUAUGUAGUUUGCAAAGCAAACGUUCAUACGAGGCUGUCUUUGUCAUUAUGUUGACCCAUUCUUUUAACUCUGGGGUUUUGGGAGUUUUCCAGUGUUUCAAAAUGACUCUAGUCGUCACAGAGACCUCCACCAUAAUCACUGCGAACUCUCCAUUUGAAAUAUUUGGCAUCUGCUCCCUGUCUCCCAAUAGACACAAUUUUGGUGAUAAUGGCAUUGUUGUUCCAAGCCAUAUACUCAAAAUAUUUAGAGUUUGGUGCCAUAAAGACACUCUAGAUACAGUGAAUAAAAGUACCUCUGUCUUUUUGACAUUUCCAACUAGCAUUAUUAUUUGUCAGUCCCAUUCUAUUUAGUCUAAGAGGUGUCAGAUAGAACCUGUGUAUAAUUUUGUACUGUGUAAAUUGCCCUCUGGCUUCUCUUACGUAUUUACCUGCAUUUGACAAAAUAUUUUUCCAAGGCUAAUUCAUUUUUUAAAGAAAGCAUAAAAACCAUCAAGAACAUGAAUGCAAAUGUCUUAACCUGCAAAUUAUUCAAUGCAUUUGAAGUAUUCUCCAUUUUAAUGGGAAAGCAAGGAAAGUCUAUACUAUAAGCAUGGUUUAAAAGAUUACUUUCACCCUCCCAGGCAUGCGCCUUGAGUUCUCUUCCCCUUGCGUGAACAACUACGGCAACUGGGUGUUAAAACACAUUUAAGGAAUAAAUAAAAGCAUAAACAAAAACAGCUGGAAAGUAAGUCUCCUAUGACAUCUUAGAUCCACUGUAAAGCGCUGAUUAAAUCAUAUUAGAUUCCUGUAUUAGUUAAACAGAAUCACGGUUUUAUCCUUGUGUUUAUCAUCCCAUAAUGGGACAAACAAUUUUGACCUGGAACAUACUCUACCACUACUGUUCAUUAACUUAACUACUCAUUAACAGUAUACACUACCAUACUAUAUAAAAUAUGUAUCCAGAACACAGUACUGUAUCCACAAUGCAAUGCAUGCAACUUCAUGCACCUUUCAUUUCCAGUAUGACAAAUGACACUGGAUUCACAAAAUUGGAUUAAAAUGGUAAAUCAUUUUAUGUAUUUUUAGAUGAUAUUUGGAGGCUACUUGCUGAAUUAAUGUAUUGUGAUGAGGUCAUGUGAUAAAUGUAGCUUAUUGUUGCAUAAUGCCUGUUUUCUUUUUUUUGGUAUUCAGUGUACUGUAUCCUGGGCAGCACUCAGUAAGCAUGAGUGUGAUGUAUUCUGAAAUAACUAAAGACUGAGCGAGUAAAAGUGAAGGAAUAGAUUAUACACUGAGCUGUAGAGUGAAUCUUAGGUUAUUUUUUACCUCAACAACAAUACAAGUGCCUUAAAUAUAGCUAUUGCCACUAUUGGAGUUUCCCUGAUUCACAACCUUCACAACACCAUUAAUUAUAUAAUUCUCCUGUGCACAUGCCAGAUACAAGUCACAACGGUGUCUACAAAAUGUAAAUCGACAAGAGUUAAGCAUGAUAAAUAUGAAAUAUAGCAUAGCUCUGUCCUGACAGUGUUGCUCAGCUGUUCUAAGUCAGCAGAAAAAAGGAACACCAGCUUAAGCAACUCUAAAUGUGUCUGUGUCAGGUUGUAGAAGGUGACUGUAAGGCAAGGAAGAGGGAACAAGACAAGUUCAUGGUGUCCUUAUACUGAAUAUGAAUUAAUUGAAUUAUGUACAUAUCUGUCAAGAAAAUGUCCAGGUCAUGUUUCACCCCCAAAUCAAACAAAUAAAGUAAAAAAAAAAAAAAAAAAGGACAAAAUACUGUUAAUGAAUAAUCUCAGAAGCUCAGAACCAGAAUGACAUUUGAUUCUUUUUAUAUACUAUUAUAACUCAGCUGUUAGUCCUGGAAUACAUAAAGAAUAAGAUGUACUCUGUUCAUGGAGUGUAAGUGUGAAAGAGUAAAGCAAGAUUGAUGGAUUGGUUACAGCUAAUCCCCUGUGCUGUGAAUGCUGGGCAGGGAAGAGGAUAGUCUGUCCUGAAAGAUAUUGAGUUAAAUGUCAGUGGGUCCUCGCAGGAAAACUACACACCCGCCCACUUUGCUAUGAUCAUCGAGUGCGUGUUGCUUGGACAGCAUAGAAAGCAUAGACACAUAUUAAAGACUUGUUUCACACUUAAAAUUUUGAAAAGAGCUUAUCACUGCCUUCAACACAGGGUUAUGACCUUGCUUUUGUGGGGUAAACCUCACAUUGAAGUGCCAAAGCUAUACAGUUAGAAUGUAAUGUAAUGUAGAGUUAGAAUGUAAUGAUUGUUUAGCAAAUAAAAAAAUAAAUCAAUUAAAUGAAUUGCCUCAUUAAAAAAUUGUAUGCUUUGUACACAGUAUUUGAAGGAUCCAUGCAGUAUUUGAAGGAAAAAUUUACGACAAACAGUAACAGAAAACGUGUUCAGAGGGGCGUUCAGAUGUGAUCAAAAUGAAAAGGAUUACAAUCCCAAUGCCAGAUUACAAGAGGACAAUUAUCUGUUGUUAUAUUCUGAGCUAUUUUUUUGCUUGAUUUCAAAUAGCAUGCCAUAAAUUAUGUUUUAUUAACAAAGUUCAGGAGGAGCACGUUCAGAUGAUCUACCCAAUCAGCACGAGAGGAGGUAUAUAUAUAGAGCCGACUUACCCCGGUUCAGGACACUCUUCCAGGAUCAGGAUCCCUCCUCCACCCCAACUCAUCACUCUCGAUUAUUCCUAUCCCAGCCAGAGACGGGGGGAGUAAUCUGGCUUUGGGCCAAAUUCCGAACUUGGAGCCCUCUCCUUGGACAGCACACCAACCUUCCCUCGCAUGGAGCUGAGAUGCAAGGAAAGGAGGCGAGGAAAGGAAACAAGGAUUUACAAAUCAGAAAUGAGAAGCACCCUAAAAGCUAAAAAUUAAAAGCUGAAAAAUGCUGCCUCCACAGGCAGGAGGUAGGAAGGAACAAGGCACAUCUGAAUCCAAUGAUCAUGUCACAUCCUGUCUGCUGAGUUACCUUCAGCUCAUUGAUACAUCCUUCACUGCCUUUGAUAUCCCACUAUCCUAUGCAUUUGAUUCCAUUUCAAAAAUGGUGCUUGAAUAAUGGUGCUUUAAAGUUGUGGUUGGUGGUCAGUUUGUGUGCAAAAUGUAUGUAACUUUUUCCACUUUUGAUGUUAUUUCUAGAGAGAAAUGAAUAUUGCAGUAAUUAAAUAUUUGCUUCAUUUUUAAAAAAAGCUCUCUCUAUUUUGUUGUAAAUCAUUAAACUGUUAUACUGCCUCAUAA